GACGAACGCUGGCGGCGUGCUUAACACAUGCAAGUCGAGCGAUGAAGCUCCUUCGGGAGUGGAUUAGCGGCGGACGGGUGAGUAACACGUGGGUAACCUGCCUCAUAGAGGGGAAUAGCCUUCCGAAAGGAAGAUUAAUACCGCAUAAGAUUGUAGUGCCGCAUGGUACAGCAAUUAAAGGAGUAAUCCGCUAUGAGAUGGACCCGCGUCGCAUUAGCUAGUUGGUGAGGUAACGGCUCACCAAGGCGACGAUGCGUAGCCGACCUGGGAGGGUGAUCGGCCACAUUGGGACUGAGACACGGCCCAGACUCCUACGGGAGGCAGCAGUGGGGAAUAUUGCACAAUGGGGGAAACCCUGAUGCAGCAACGCCGCGUGAGUGAUGACGGUCUUCGGAUUGUAAAGCUCUGUCUUCAGGGACGAUAAUGACGGUACCUGAGGAGGAAGCCACGGCUAACUACGUGCCAGCCGCCGCAGUAA
RNAcentral lists this ribosomal RNA (478 nucleotides) under uncultured bacterium. Its description in RNAcentral is "partial 16S ribosomal RNA". It matches the Rfam family "Bacterial small subunit ribosomal RNA", at positions 28 to 523 of the family's 1533-position model. The record is from RNAcentral.